GGAAGUAAAAGUCGUAACAAAGUUUCCGUAGGUGAACCUGCGGAAGGAUCAUUAAAGUUAUAGUCCCCCGGCCCUCUGGGCUGGGGUCUUCUAUACCACCCUUUGUUUAUUACACCCUUGUUGCUUUGGCAGGCCUGCCCUCGGGCUGCUGGCUCCGGCCGGCUCGCGUCUGCCAGAGGACCUAAACUCUGUUUGUAUAUGAAGUCUGAGUACUAUAUAAUAGUUAAAACUUUCAACAACGGAUCUCUUGGUUCUG
RNAcentral lists this unclassified non-coding RNA (256 nucleotides) under plant metagenome. RNAcentral describes it as "partial contains small subunit ribosomal RNA, internal transcribed spacer 1, and 5.8S ribosomal RNA". The stretch from base 1 to 54 matches the Rfam family "Eukaryotic small subunit ribosomal RNA", at positions 1778 to 1831 of the family's 1831-position model. The record is from RNAcentral.